Small nuclear RNA from Cavia aperea (Brazilian guinea pig), 114 nucleotides. The record is from Ensembl. Lineage: Eukaryota; Metazoa; Chordata; Mammalia; Rodentia; Caviidae.
GUGCUUGCUUCAGCAGCACAUAUACUGAAAUUGGAGCAGUACCGAGAAGAUCAUUAUGGCCCCUUGCACAAGGAUGACAUGUUAAAGGAAGCAGAAAGGGGAGAACAGGAGCUU